AACGAACGCUGGCGGCAUGCCUAACACAUGCAAGUCGAACGAGACCUUCGGGUCUAGUUGCGCACGGGUGCGUAACGCGUGGGAACCUGCCCUUAGGUUCGGAAUAACUCCCCGAAAGGGGUGCUAAUACCGGAUAAUGUCUUCGGACCAAAGAUUUAUCGCCUUUGGAUGGGCCCGCGUUGGAUUAGCUAGUUGGUAGGGUAAAAGCCUACCAAGGCGACGAUCCAUAGCUGGUCUGAGAGGAUGAUCAGCCACACUGGGACUGAGACACGGCCCAGACUCCUACGGGAGGCAGCAGUGGGGAAUAUUGGACAAUGGGCGAAAGACUGAUCCAGCAAGGCCGCGUGAGUGAUGAAGGCCUUAGGGUUGUAAAGCUCUUUUAACCGGGAUGAUAAUGACAGUACCGGGAGAAUAAGCUCCGGCUAACUCCGUG
Molecule: ribosomal RNA, 433 nt
Filed under: uncultured bacterium
Lineage: Bacteria
Description: partial 16S ribosomal RNA
Rfam family: Bacterial small subunit ribosomal RNA
Source: RNAcentral